AGGGGAGCCAGGGCAAGCAGGCUGUUGAGCAGAGGGCCAGGUGGCACCAGGGGGGACCGUCCGCAUCCCCACUAUGCCCCAGCCUGAACCUGUGUUCUAACGGCAGGUGACUGGC
MicroRNA precursor from Equus caballus (horse), 115 nucleotides. The record is from Ensembl. NCBI's taxonomy places the organism in Eukaryota, Metazoa, Chordata, Mammalia, Perissodactyla, Equidae.